AUUGAACGCUGGCGGCAUGCUUUACACAUGCAAGUCGAACGGCAGCGGGGAGGAGCUUGCUUCUCUGCCGGCGAGUGGCGAACGGGUGAGUAAUACAUCGGAACUUGUCGAGAAGAGGGGGAUAACCACCCGAAAGGGUGGCUAAUACCGCAUAAAUUCUGAGGAAGAAAGCUGGGGACCUAGGAAUAGGCCUAGCGCUUUUUGAGCGGCCGAUGUCGGAUUAGCUAGUUGGUGAGGUAAAGGCUCACCAAGGCGAAGAUCUGUAGCGGGUCUGAGAGGAUGGACCGCCACCCUGGGACUGAGACAAGGCCCAGACUCCUACGGGAGGCAGCAGUGGGGAAUUUUGGACAAUGGGGGCAACCCUGAUCCAGCCAUGCCGCGUGUAUGAAGAAGGCCUUAGGGUUGUAAAGUACUUUUGUUAGGGAAGAAAAGUCAGCUGUGAAUAAUGGCUGAUACUGACGGUACCUAAAGAAUAAGCACCGGCUAACUACGUG
Molecule: ribosomal RNA, 494 nt
Filed under: uncultured bacterium
Lineage: Bacteria
Description: partial 16S ribosomal RNA
Rfam family: Bacterial small subunit ribosomal RNA
Source: RNAcentral